This 425-nucleotide ribosomal RNA is filed under the name uncultured bacterium. RNAcentral describes it as "bacterial SSU rRNA". It matches the Rfam family "Bacterial small subunit ribosomal RNA", at positions 354 to 796 of the family's 1533-position model. The record is from RNAcentral.
GUGGGGAAUCUUAGACAAUGGGCGCAAGCCUGAUCUAGCCAUGCUGCGUGAGCGAUGAAGGCCUUAGGGUUGUAAAGCUCUUUCAGUGGGGAAGAUAAUGACUGUACCCACAGAAGAAGCCCCGGCUAACUCCGUGCCAGCAGCCGCGGUAAUACGGAGGGGGCUAGCGUUGUUCGGAAUUACUGGGCGUAAAGCGCACGUAGGCGGACUGGAAAGUCAGGGGUGAAAUCCCGGGGCUCAACCCCGGAACUGCCUUUGCAACUCCCAGUCUUGAGGUCGAGAGAGGUGAGUGGAAUUCCGAGUGUAGAGGUGAAAUUCGUAGAUAUUCGGAGGAACACCAGGGGCGAAGGCGGCUCACUGGCUCGAUACUGACGCUGAGGUGCGAAAGCGUGGGGAGCAAACAGGAUUAGAUACCCGUGUAGUCC